UGGGGAAUAUUGCACAAUGGGCGCAAGCCUGAUGCAGCCAUGCCGCGUGUUUGAAGAAGGCCUUCGGGUUGUAAAGCACUUUCAGCGGGGAGGAAGGCGAUAAGGUUAAUAACCUCAUCGAUUGACGUUACCCGCAGAAGAAGCACCGGCUAACUCCGUGCCAGCAGCCGCGGUAAUACGGAGGGUGCAAGCGUUAAUCGGAAUUACUGGGCGUAAAGCGCACGCAGGCGGUCUGUCAAGUCGGAUGUGAAAUCCCCGGGCUCAACCUGGGAACUGCAUUCGAAACUGGCAGGCUAGAGUCUUGUAGAGGGGGGUAGAAUUCCAGGUGUAGCGGUGAAAUGCGUAGAGAUCUGGAGGAAUACCGGUGGCGAAGGCGGCCCCCUGGACGAAGACUGACGCUCAGGUGCGAAAGCGUGGGGAGCAAACAGG
This 429-nucleotide ribosomal RNA is filed under the name Chloroflexota bacterium. RNAcentral describes it as "Chloroflexi bacterium partial 16S ribosomal RNA". It matches the Rfam family "Bacterial small subunit ribosomal RNA", at positions 355 to 776 of the family's 1533-position model. The record is from RNAcentral. Lineage: Bacteria; Bacillati; Chloroflexota.